GAUCAAGAUGAGGCCUAACCAGCUUGUUUUCCUAGGGGAAGUUAAAAUACUGAAGCAGAUUGUGAUUCAUGUCAGCAUCAUGGUUGGCUUCAAGAUUCCUGGCUGCUGUCUUGAGCCAACCCCUCUUCUGGACAAGGAUACCAGGGCUGAGGGCGAGAACCUUUUUGUGGCCAGCUGGUGCUUCUGAUAAAGAUGCCAGGUAAGGGCACAGCAUCUUUUGGAACAGGUAGUGUGAAGUCUAGGUGGGGUUGGGCAGCCUUGGGCAGGAUGGGUUCAGUAGGGAUGUCAAUGUGAUGGAGUCAGCAACCAUCCAGUCUGCUAAAUUUGUACUGUAGAGAUUGAGUCUAAAGCAGUGUUGAAGAGUGUGGCACAUAUUUCAAAAUAGUGAAAGCACUGCGGGGGGGGGGGGAGAGAUUUUACUAACUACUGUAUAUAUUUUAGACUUCAGACUGGCACUAGAAAUCCAGUUUUUUGGCCCUUUGCUUAUUAUUCUGGGAAUUUCACGAGCUAAUGUGAAAUAAGAAAUGCAGCUGAGUGCACAUGACUGUCUGAAAGCCUGUCAUAGGUUAUUCUAAACCCCAAGUCCUGCCCUCCCUUUCUCUCCCUCUCUGCUCCACACUCCCUCCCCUUGCAUUCCCUUUGUAGAACCAUUUUUAAAAUCCUGGAUGUGUCGCACCAUUUUUUCCAACCUUAUGCCAGCACUAUUUGUAGUUUUCCACCUGUCACCGUGUGUAUUACAUUGUAAGCCUGGAUGGUGUUUCUUCAGUUCUAGUGCCUUAACAGACAGGGAGAAAGAUUGAUUCACAGAUCAUUUUGGGGUAACCUUUUUAAAAUUUAAUAAGACUGCCAGAAUAAGGCAGCAAUGCUAAAUGUGCUUGCAUGAAAAUUAGCUCCAUUGAAAUAAAAAUGAUUAUUUCAAAGAGUAUGUUUACAAUUUAGGGUGUUGGUCACCUGUGAACAAUUCCCCCACGUGGUUGUUGUUGUUGUUUUGUACAAAUCACGUUUAUUUCCAAGCUUUUCUACGUAGAAAUUAACAUUUCAAAAUACAUUACUAAUCUAAUUUCAUUAUAGAGGCAUGUUGUUUUUUGAACUUCCCAUAUUUUCCAACUAAGCCUUUUCCUGACACUUAGCAUCUGUAUUGCUGUGAGUUUGGGGGGUGCGUAGUAGACUGUAUGCCUGGAUCCGACAAGGAUUUGAUUGCUGGAAUAGCCAGGCAAGUUUCUUUGUAACGGCCUAUGUAUGAGUCAUUAAGGUAACUAAGGAAGUGGUUCUGUGCUAGAAAACAAAUGGGUGGCACCCUCUCUCUGUCUGUUAGAAAGACAAAGGCCAGAGUUGAGGUGUGUGAGCUAGAAGGUAGAAGCAAGGAAGCAGGCCGAGAGCCAUGUUCUGCUUGAAUCCAAGGGGAACUGCCUUCCUAAAUCCAGCGCUGUUGAGUGGAGAAACCCCAGAAGUUCGGAGACUUUAUCUCUAAAGCAUCCUCUCUCCUCUUGCAACUCUCUCUCCUGAUGUUCCUUAGAAAAAGGACAAUAGGGCAUGGCAGGCCUAUCGUCCUUUUUCUAAGAUUGAAAAUACACACGUCUAUUUUAUCCACUUUUUAAGGCGGGGGGGGGGAUUGUUCAGCCUGUUGAAAUCCGGCUUGCGAGCAUCUAAGGAGGGACUUGGGAAAAGAGGGGAGGGGGAUGGAUGUGGGAGGCAGUGCAGAGACACGUGACAAGGCAAGGGGAUAAGAGGCAGAAUCGGAAUCAGCCUUCGGCACGAGCCAGGCUUCCUUUCGGAGAAUCACAGCAGCAGUCCAGGGGCAGAAAGAAAGAAAGACAGGAAGAAAGUGAAGGCAAGCUCUUAACCUGCAACCUGAAAAC
This is a long non-coding RNA of Podarcis muralis (Common wall lizard), 1859 nucleotides long. The record is from Ensembl. Lineage: Eukaryota; Metazoa; Chordata; Lepidosauria; Squamata; Lacertidae.